GUUGUUCAUAUGCACAGUUAAUAAUUAAAAUAAUAGUUUAUUAUGACAGUUGCAGUUACAGAUGUUGCCACCUACUGGGCAUCUCCAAGGUGACGAAGUAACGUGAGGGAUCGUUUAUCACGUUUAUAAAAGCAAACAGUAAAAAGGGGAGGAGACACAUUGAAAUUAGUUUCGUUUUGUGCUUCCAACCAAGCACGAUCUAAAAACAAAAAACAAAACAAAAACAAAAAAAACUAGUGUCUCAUCAAGUACCACCAUAAUGACCAACAUUACAAUACAGUAGCAGCCUAACUGGUCAUGAAAAAAAUAUGAGAUUUUAUCCCUGAAAGCUAUAUCUAAUUGUAAUUGUAUUAUAACAUUACUGGCAGUUUUAACAAUGGCACUCACUGUACUUCAAUAGAGGAAAAUGGAAAAACAAAAACAAUAUUGCAACCUCUGUAAAUAAUAACAUGCUGGAUUAAAAAACAUUAUUAAGAGAUUAAACAUUUCAUUUAAUUAUUCAUUUGCAGUUGGCGCGGAAAAAAGGACUGGUUUGCACAUCUGCCUGAAAGCCUGCAUGGUAGGGUUUUUCAGUGUCUGAGUCCUCAUCGGCCCUUCCAUUUUGGGAAGCUCAUCUGCAGCUGAAAGGGUGAAAGAGAAAGGCUCAUCUAAACAAACGCUGCCCAUGAAACCAUGACACGCGUCCAGCUGCAGCUCUGUUCUCUGGUCAAAGAGAUAAAAUGA
Molecule: long non-coding RNA, 723 nt
Organism: Syngnathus acus (greater pipefish)
Lineage: Eukaryota; Metazoa; Chordata; Actinopteri; Syngnathiformes; Syngnathidae
Exons: 2
Source: RefSeq, a predicted model, not a curated record